CACUGAGAUGUUAUUCUGACACUCUUCGCUGGGUUCAUCUACUGCCGUCCCUCACACAGGUACAUGGGUAGAAAAUAUUUUCAACAUAAAUCACAAAAUGAAAAAUAAGGAGAAAAAUAAGAAAAUGAAGGAAAGCGUCAUUAUUGGAAGUGGAGUCAUGAGAUGGCUUCUAGAACCCAGCCAGACCAAGCAGCACAGAGAUCAAACAUGGACACAUAAUAAUAAAGCUGGAAGAAAUUCAAGAACCCA
This 249-nucleotide long non-coding RNA is filed under the name Anas platyrhynchos platyrhynchos (common mallard). Its description in RNAcentral is "lncRNA (ENSAPLG00000025721.1)". The record is from RNAcentral. Lineage: Eukaryota; Metazoa; Chordata; Aves; Anseriformes; Anatidae.